AUUGAACGCUGGCGGCGUGCUUAACACAUGCAAGUCGAGCGGCAGCGCGGGGGCAACCCCGGCGGCGAGCGGCGAACGGGUGAGUAAUGCUUCGGAAUCUUCCUAGUAGUGGGGAAUAACAUGAGGAACCCAUGCUAAUACCGCAUACGAUCUACGGAUGAAAGCAGGGGAUCGCAAGACCUUGCGCUAUUAGAUGAGCC
This 200-nucleotide ribosomal RNA is filed under the name uncultured bacterium. Its description in RNAcentral is "partial 16S ribosomal RNA". It matches the Rfam family "Bacterial small subunit ribosomal RNA", at positions 30 to 231 of the family's 1533-position model. The record is from RNAcentral.